GCCCUCGUGGUGGAAUUGGUAGACACGCUACUUUGAGGUGGUAGUGCUUAACGGCGUCACGGUUCGAGUCCGUGCGAGGGCA
This is a transfer RNA of Gemmatimonas phototrophica, 82 nucleotides long. It matches the Rfam family "tRNA". From Rfam's summary of the family: Transfer RNA (tRNA) molecules are approximately 80 nucleotides in length. Their secondary structure includes four short double-helical elements and three loops (D, anti-codon, and T loops). Further hydrogen bonds mediate the characteristic L-shaped molecular structure. tRNAs have two regions of fundamental functional importance: the anti-codon, which is responsible for specific mRNA codon recognition, and the 3' end, to which the tRNAs corresponding amino acid is attached (by aminoacyl-tRNA synthetases). tRNAs cope with the degeneracy of the genetic code in two manners: having more than one tRNA (with a specific anti-codon) for a particular amino acid; and 'wobble' base-pairing, i.e. permitting non-standard base-pairing at the 3rd anti-codon position. Lineage: Bacteria; Pseudomonadati; Gemmatimonadota; Gemmatimonadia; Gemmatimonadales; Gemmatimonadaceae. The record is from Rfam.